GCCAAUGCUAGUCAUUUUCAGCAUCUCUACAAACACAUCUUUAUCAAUAUAAAUACAAAUCCAACAUUAAGUUUAUAAAAUGUCUAACUCUCUGCUCCCCCCCUUCCGUCUGCUUUGGUCUCUUCCGGAACCUUUAAAAGGUACUCAGGCCCCCGGGGAAUCUUUUAGCCUGAACACCCUGCAGAGGAAGAGAGAGGACAUAAUCAGUUCCAGCUGAGAUGCCACCGAAACCACCAUUAAUAAACCAUUUCAAUCA
Long non-coding RNA from Cyprinodon tularosa, 256 nucleotides. RefSeq lists it as uncharacterized. The record is from RefSeq and is a predicted model, not a curated record. The transcript has 2 exons. Lineage: Eukaryota; Metazoa; Chordata; Actinopteri; Cyprinodontiformes; Cyprinodontidae.